This 507-nucleotide ribosomal RNA is filed under the name uncultured bacterium. RNAcentral's name for it is "bacterial SSU rRNA". It matches the Rfam family "Bacterial small subunit ribosomal RNA", at positions 791 to 1299 of the family's 1533-position model. The record is from RNAcentral.
UAGUCCACGCCCUAAACGAUGCUUACUCGGCAUUGGCGAUAUGACUGUUCAGUGCCUAAGCGAAAGUUUUAAGUAAUCCACCUGGGGAGUACGAUCGCAAGAUUGAAACUCAAAGGAAUUGACGGGGGCCCGCACAAGCGGAGGAACAUGUGGUUUAAUUCGAUGAUACGCGAGGAACCUUACCUGGACUUAAAUGUACGUUGCAUGGAUCAGAGAUGGUCCUUUCUUCGGACUACGUACAAGGUGCUGCAUGGUUGUCGUCAGCUCGUGCCGUGAGGUGUUGGGUUAAGUCCCGCAACGAGCGCAACCCCUAUCUGUAGUUGCCAACAGGUGAUGCUGGGGACUCUACGGAAACUGCCUACGCAAGUAGUGAGGAAGGCGGGGACGACGUCAAAUCAUCAUGGCCUUUAUGCCCAGGGCGACACACGUGCUACAAUGGUGGGGACAAAGGGGUAGCGACAUAGCGAUAUGAAGCCAAUCCCAAAAACCUCAAUCUCAGCUCGGAUU